AGAGUUUGAUCCUGGCUCAGGAUGAACGCUGGCGGCGUGCUUAACACAUGCAAGUCGAACGGACGUAGGGAGCUUGCUCCCUGCGUUAGUGGCGGACGGGUGAGUAACGCGUGAGCAAUCUGCCCAUAUCUGGGGGAUAACAGUUAGAAAUGACUGCUAAUACCGCAUAUGACCACGGGAAGGCAUCUUUCCGGGGUGAAAGAUUUAUCGGAUAUGGAUGAGCUCGCGUCCCAUUAGGUAGUUGGUGAGGUAACGGCCCACCAAGCCGACGAUGGGUAGCCGGCCUUAGAGGGUGAUCGGCCACAUUGGAACUGAGACACGGUCCAAACUCCUACGGGAGGCAGCAGUGGGGAAUAUUGGGCAAUGGAGGCAACUCUGACCCAGCAACGCCGCGUGAGUGAUGAAGGUCUUCGGAUUGUAAAACUCUUUAAGUGGGGACGAAGAAAGUGACUGUACCCACAGAAUAAGCCUCGGCUAACUACGUGCCAGCAGCCGCGGUAAUACGUAGGAGGCAAGCGUUAUCCGGAAUGACUGGGCGUAA
Molecule: ribosomal RNA, 541 nt
Filed under: uncultured bacterium
Lineage: Bacteria
Description: bacterial SSU rRNA
Rfam family: Bacterial small subunit ribosomal RNA
Source: RNAcentral